CGCUCGAAAAGGCAAAUCCGUCGAAAGCCGGAGACGCAAAGCCAUGGAUCUAAGGUCGACGUUAGGCUAUGAUCGUCUGGCUACCGAA
RNAcentral lists this non-coding RNA (88 nucleotides) under Chloroflexota bacterium. RNAcentral describes it as "Chloroflexi bacterium c-di-GMP sequence". It matches the Rfam family "c-di-GMP-I riboswitch aptamer". From Rfam's summary of the family: GEMM was predicted in a large-scale screen for bacterial structured RNA regulatory elements. Genes associated with GEMM are involved in a diverse array of functions, including chemotaxis regulation, signal transduction, secretion and chitin. Lineage: Bacteria; Bacillati; Chloroflexota. The record is from RNAcentral.